UACGUAGGGGGCUAGCGUUAUCCGGAUUCAUUGGGUUUAAAGGGUGCGUAGGCGGACUAUUAAGUCAGUGGUGAAAGCCUGCAGCUUAACUGCAGAACUGCCAUUGAUACUGAUAGUCUUGAGUUUGGUUAAGGUAGGCGGAAUGUGUAAUGUAGCGGUGAAAUGCUUAGAUAUUACACAGAACACCAAUUGCGUAGGCAGCUUACUGAGCCGACACUGACGCUGAGGCACGAAAGCGUGGGGAUCGAACAGGAUUAGA
This 259-nucleotide ribosomal RNA is filed under the name uncultured prokaryote. RNAcentral's name for it is "partial 16S ribosomal RNA". It matches the Rfam family "Bacterial small subunit ribosomal RNA", at positions 524 to 782 of the family's 1533-position model. The record is from RNAcentral.